RNAcentral lists this ribosomal RNA (131 nucleotides) under uncultured bacterium. RNAcentral describes it as "partial 16S ribosomal RNA". It matches the Rfam family "Bacterial small subunit ribosomal RNA", at positions 355 to 479 of the family's 1533-position model. The record is from RNAcentral.
UAGGGAAUCUUCCACAAUGGGCGAAAGCCUGAUGGAGCAACGCCGCGUGUGUGAUGAAGGCUUUCGGGUCGUAAAGCACUGUUGUAUGGGAAGAACAGCUAGAAUAGGGAAUGAUUUAGUUUGACGGUACC